GACGAACGCUGGCGGCGUGCUUAACACAUGCAAGUCGAACGCUGAAGCUUGAUGCUUGCACUGGGUGGAUGAGUGGCGAACGGGUGAGUAAUACGUGAGUAACCUGCCCUUGACUCUGGGAUAAGCCUGGGAAACUGGGUCUAAUACUGGAUAUGACAUGCCACUGCAUGGUGGUGUGUGGAAAGGGUUUUACUGGUUUUGGAUGGGCUCACGGCCUAUCAGCUUGUUGGUGGGGUAAUGGCCUACCAAGGCGACGACGGGUAGCCGGCCUGAGAGGGUGACCGGCCACACUGGGACUGAGACACGGCCCAGACUCCUACGGGAGGCAGCAGUGGGGAAUAUUGCACAAUGGGCGGAAGCCUGAUGCAGCGACGCCGCGUGAGGGAUGACGGCCUUCGGGUUGUAAACCUCUUUCAGCACGGAAGAAGCGAGAGUGACGGUACGUGCAGAAGAAGCGCCGGCUAACUACGUG
This 472-nucleotide ribosomal RNA is filed under the name uncultured bacterium. Its description in RNAcentral is "partial 16S ribosomal RNA". It matches the Rfam family "Bacterial small subunit ribosomal RNA", at positions 28 to 507 of the family's 1533-position model. The record is from RNAcentral.